CAGAGUGAUUUCGAUCAAAGUGAAGAAGCUGAGCUGCACAUUUGGGGCAAUCUUUCAAGAGUUUAGGUACCAUGUAAUAAAUAAAACAAGCUUUGCAGCCAGCUACCACAAGAACUUCAUUCUCUUCUUCGUGAUUCUCUAUCGAUGACUCUGAUGAAGAUUCUUCGCUUUCAUAAUAAGAACUAUCGUCUUCUUAAACAACAGCUACAUCCGAUUCUCCACUGAAAUCAUCAUAUGCAUUGUUGUUGUUGUUUAUUCCGGUCUUCCGGUUUAUGUAGUAAACCUCUCCUGUCUAAUUAAUUAAACAUAAAACAAACGUCCAGAUUUCACUUAAAAAGUAACUGUAAUUUUAAAUCUUGAAAACUACUUUGAUGCUAAGGCUAAUAGCUUUUUUUUUGUGCAACCGCUAAGGCUAAUAGCUUAAUCCCCAGAAGUAAUAUUUUUUUAAACUAGUGCCAGAAAGAAUAAAGAGGAAACAUAAUGAUUCUGCUUUCUUUCUUUCUUUGCAAUGCAGAAAAAAUGCACCCCAAGUCCUGAAAGAAAACAAAUAUGGACGAGAUGUUUUAUAUGUAAAUCUCUAUAUGCAUAUGUUUUCUUUUUGAUUGAUAUACAAGAGAACAUUGCUUUGUUCUAAAACAAACAUCCGGCAGAUUCAAAUAGAAGAAAAAAAAAGAACGUAAAGUGAGCCAUGAAACUUUCCAAGUGAAGUUCUUCUACAAAGAAAAUUUCAGUUAGGGUUUAUGUUUUGGUAAUGAAAUCAAGAUUGGAAGCAAACCCUGUGAGCAUUUAUAGACAAGACAAUAGAGACAAAGCUUGAAGCAAUAAAUGCAACACAAGUAAACAGAAAAAAUCAAUUAUAAAGGAAACCAAAGAAGUUACAUUUGUCAUACCACAAAACUGACAAAUGAUUGUCCUCAAACUCAAAG
Molecule: long non-coding RNA, 926 nt
Filed under: Brassica napus (rape)
Lineage: Eukaryota; Viridiplantae; Streptophyta; Magnoliopsida; Brassicales; Brassicaceae
Description: long non-coding RNA (BNAP_LNC017765)
Source: RNAcentral